UACGAAGGGGGCUAGCGUUGCUCGGAAUCACUGGGCGUAAAGGUGCGUAGGCGGGUCUUUAAGUCAGGGGUGAAAUCCUGGAGCUCAACUCCAGAACUGCCUUUGAUACUGAAGAUCUUGAGUUCGGGAGAGGUGAGUGGAACUGCGAGUGUAGAGGUGAAAUUCGUAGAUAUUCGCAAGAACACCAGUGGCGAAGGCGGCUCACUGGGCCGAUACUGACGCUGAG
Molecule: ribosomal RNA, 226 nt
Filed under: uncultured bacterium
Lineage: Bacteria
Description: partial 16S ribosomal RNA
Rfam family: Bacterial small subunit ribosomal RNA
Source: RNAcentral